AUUGAACGCUGGCGGCAGGCUUAACACAUGCAAGUCGAGCGAGCGGCGGACGGGUGAGUAAUGUCUGGGAAACUGCCUGAUGGAGGGGGAUAACGAAUGGCAAAGGUAGCUCAUACCGCAUACCAUCAGAUGUGCCCAGAUGGGAUUAUCGAGGAGGAGGGGUAAUGGCUCACAUAGGCGACGAUCCCUAGCUGGUCUGAGAGGAUUACCAGCCACACGGGAACGGAGACACGGUCCAGACUCCUACGGGAGGCAGCAGUGGGGAAUAUUGCACAAUGGGCGCAAGCCUGAUGCAGCCAUGCCGCGUGUGUGAAGAAGGCCUUCGGGUUGUAAAGCACUUUCAGCGAGGAGGCGUUACUCGCAGAAGAAGCACCGGCUAACUCCGUGCCAGCAGCCGCGGUAAUAC
Molecule: ribosomal RNA, 406 nt
Filed under: uncultured bacterium
Lineage: Bacteria
Description: partial 16S ribosomal RNA
Rfam family: Bacterial small subunit ribosomal RNA
Source: RNAcentral